RNAcentral lists this ribosomal RNA (1050 nucleotides) under uncultured marine bacterium. RNAcentral describes it as "bacterial SSU rRNA". It matches the Rfam family "Bacterial small subunit ribosomal RNA", at positions 356 to 1397 of the family's 1533-position model. The record is from RNAcentral.
GGGGAAUUUUCCGCAAUGGGCGAAAGCCUGACGACGCAACGCCGCGUGGAGGACGAAGACCUUCGGGUUGUAAACUCCUGUCGAGCGGGAAGAAUUGCCCGCGGGCCAAUACCCCGCGGGUUUGACGGUACCGCUAGAGGAAGCCCCGGCUAACUCCGUGCCAGCAGCCGCGGUAAUACGGGGGGGGCAAGCGUUGUUCGGAUUUACUGGGCGUAAAGGGCUCGUAGGCUGCCGUUCAAGUCGGUUGUGAAAUCCCCGGGCUCAACUCGGGAACUGCAGCCGAAACUGAACGGCUUGAAGCCGGGAGAGGGAUGCGGAAUUCCAGGUGUAGCGGUGAAAUGCGUAGAUAUCUGGAGGAACACCCGUGGCGAAGGCGGCAUCCUGGCCCGGUCUUGACGCUGAGGAGCGAAAGCCAGGGUAGCAAACGGGAUUAGAUACCCCGGUAGUCCUGGCCCUAAACGAUGAAUGCUUGGUGUGGUGGGUAUCGAUCCCCGCCGUGCCGGAGCUAACGCGUUAAGCAUUCCGCCUGGGGAGUACGGUCGCAAGGCUGAAACUCAAAGGAAUUGACGGGGGCCCGCACAAGCGGUGGAGCAUGUGGUUUAAUUCGACGCAACGCGAAGAACCUUACCCGGGCUUGAAGCGCAAGCGACCAUCGGCGAAAGUCGACUUCCGCAAGGACGCUUGUAGAGGUGCUGCAUGGCUGUCGCCAGCUCGUGUCGUGAGAUGUUGGGUUAAGUCCCGCAACGAGCGCAACCCUUGUCUGCUGUUGCCAUCAGUUCGGCUGGGCACUCUGCGGAGACUGCCGGUGACAAACCGGAGGAAGGUGGGGAUGACGUCAAGUCAGCAUGGCCUUUAUGUCCGGGGCUACACACGUGCUACAAUGGCCGGCACAAUGCGCCGCGAUCCCGUGAGAGGGAGCCAAUCGCACAAAGCCGGUCUCAGUUCGGAUUGGAGUCUGCAACUCGACUCCAUGAAGCCGGAGUCGCUAGUAAUCCCGGAUCAGCAACGCCGGGGUGAAUACUGUUCCCGGGCCUUGUACACACCGCCCGU